AUGGGGAAGGGCUACCACAAGAAGCUGGGCGUGAACAAGGCGGCCAUCGCCGGCACAGGCUCCGGGAAGGGCCAGGCCAUGCGCGGCGGGAACGGGGCCGGACCUUGUGGUGUGGGCUGGGGAUCAGGCCGGUCGACGUUCUCUGCCACCGACCAUAGCACCUUCCAGACGGUAAGCUGGCAAACUUACCGAUCAGUAACCAUUACGCGUUCUUCCAAGGCGGCCACCGCCGGUGAAGGAAAGGGCAAGGGCGCCGGCGGCGGCUACUCUAAGCGCUCGGGAGGCAGAACAGGCGUGGGAUCUGAUGGCCCGAGAGGAGGCGCGGUCAAGGCCGGCCCCCGAGGAGGGAAGGGAGCAGGUGGUGGCGGCCGGGGAGGCGCGCCGACAUUCUCUGCCACCGGCCAUGGCACCUUGCAGACGGACAUGCAUGCCACGAAUGAGUACUACGACUGUUCGUCUGAGCACGGUGUGUCAUUCUCUCGCACCCACCAUGGCACCUUUGAGACUGACCAUGGCACCUUUGACACGGCCGCGGAGACCAUGAAUGAGUACUACGAUGAGGAGGAGGACCUUGGUUUGCCCCUGGUUGAGGGCGGAGAUCAGGAUAAUGCAGGCCAGCACGAUGCUGAAUUUCUGUGUGAUGAAGAAGGCGAGGGCGGUGAGAUCGGCGAUGAUGGCAAUGGAGGGGGUGGUGAUGACGACAUAGGCGGUGCUGGGAUUGGUGAUGACCUCUUCGAUGGCGAUGACUACUACGACAAUGACGUCGCCGGGGAUUUUGAUGGUGGCUAUGACUGGUGGUAG
RNAcentral lists this ribosomal RNA (801 nucleotides) under Triticum aestivum (bread wheat). RNAcentral's name for it is "partial small subunit ribosomal RNA". Lineage: Eukaryota; Viridiplantae; Streptophyta; Magnoliopsida; Poales; Poaceae. The record is from RNAcentral.